GUCAAUAAAAACACCUCCCUUUUUAUUCCAGAUCCUGUCUGAUUUUGGAAGUUAAGCAGGGCCAGUCCAGAUUAGUAUUUAGAUGGGAGAAUGUUAAUGAAUACCAGGUGCUAUAGGCU
RNAcentral lists this ribosomal RNA (119 nucleotides) under Anolis carolinensis (green anole). The record is from RNAcentral. Lineage: Eukaryota; Metazoa; Chordata; Lepidosauria; Squamata; Anolidae.